CGAAACUUUCUUACACCGAAUGCUUGCAUUCACCGUAAGAAGUUGAGUGGCGGACGGGUGAGUAACACGUGGGUAACCUGCCUAAAAGAAGGGGAUAACACUUGGAAACAGGUGCUAAUACCGUAUAUCUCUAAGGAUCGCAUGAUCCUUAGAUGAAAGAUGGUUCUGCUAUCGCUUUUAGAUGGACCCGCGGCGUAUUAACUAGUUGGUGGGGUAACGGCCUACCAAGGUGAUGAUACGUAGCCGAACUGAGAGGUUGAUCGGCCACAUUGGGACUGAGACACGGCCCAAACUCCUACGGGAGGCAGCAGUAGGGAAUCUUCCACAAUGGACGCAAGUCUGAUGGAGCAACGCCGCGUGAGUGAAGAAGGUCUUCGGAUCGUAAAACUCUGUUGUUAGAGAAGAACACGAGUGAGAGUAACUGUUCAUUCGAUGACGGUAUCUAACCAGCAAGUCACGGCUAACUACGUGCCAGCAGCCGCGGUAAUACGUAGGUGGCAAGCGUUGUCCGGAUUUAUUGGGCGUAAAGGGAACGCAGGCGGUCUUUUAAGUCUGAUGUGAAAGCCUUCGGCUUAACCGGAGUAGUGCAUUGGAAACUGGAAGACUUGAGUGCAGAAGAGGAGAGUGGAACUCCAUGUGUAGCGGUGAAAUGCGUAGAUAUAUGGAAGAAC
Molecule: ribosomal RNA, 671 nt
Filed under: Ligilactobacillus salivarius
Lineage: Bacteria; Bacillati; Bacillota; Bacilli; Lactobacillales; Lactobacillaceae
Description: bacterial SSU rRNA
Rfam family: Bacterial small subunit ribosomal RNA
Source: RNAcentral